Molecule: ribosomal RNA, 1100 nt
Filed under: Microbacterium sp. M427
Lineage: Bacteria; Bacillati; Actinomycetota; Actinomycetes; Micrococcales; Microbacteriaceae
Description: bacterial SSU rRNA
Rfam family: Bacterial small subunit ribosomal RNA
Source: RNAcentral
GAUGAACGCUGGCGGCGUGCUUAACACAUGCAAGUCGAACGGUGAAGCAGAGCUUGCUCUGUGGAUCAGUGGCGAACGGGUGAGUAACACGUGAGCAACCUGCCCCGGACUCUGGGAUAAGCGCUGGAAACGGCGUCUAAUACCGGAUACGAGACAAGACGGCAUCGUCAUUGUCUGGAAAGAUUUUUUGGUCUGGGAUGGGCUCGCGGCCUAUCAGCUUGUUGGUGAGGUAAUGGCUCACCAAGGCGUCGACGGGUAGCCGGCCUGAGAGGGUGACCGGCCACACUGGGACUGAGACACGGCCCAGACUCCUACGGGAGGCAGCAGUGGGGAAUAUUGCACAAUGGGCGAAAGCCUGAUGCAGCAACGCCGCGUGAGGGAUGACGGCCUUCGGGUUGUAAACCUCUUUUAGCAGGGAAGAAGCGAAAGUGACKGUACCUGCAGAAAAAGCGCCGGCUAACUACGUGCCAGCAGCCGCGGUAAUACGUAGGGCGCAAGCGUUAUCCGGAAUUAUUGGGCGUAAAGAGCUCGUAGGCGGUUUGUCGCGUCUGCUGUGAAAUCCCGAGGCUCAACCUCGGGCCUGCAGUGGGUACGGGCAGACUAGAGUGCGGUAGGGGAGAUUGGAAUUCCUGGUGUAGCGGUGGAAUGCGCAGAUAUCAGGAGGAACACCGAUGGCGAAGGCAGAUCUCUGGGCCGUAACUGACGCUGAGGAGCGAAAGGGUGGGGAGCAAACAGGCUUAGAUACCCUGGUAGUCCACCCCGUAAACGUUGGGAACUAGUUGUGGGGUCCAUUCCACGGAUUCCGUGACGCAGCUAACGCAUUAAGUUCCCCGCCUGGGGAGUACGGCCGCAAGGCUAAAACUCAAAGGAAUUGACGGGGACCCGCACAAGCGGCGGAGCAUGCGGAUUAAUUCGAUGCAACGCGAAUAACCUUACCAAGGCUUGACAUAUACGAGAACACUUCAGAAAUGAAGGACUCUUUGGACACUCGUAUACAGGUGGUGCAUGGUUGUCGUCAGCUCGUGUCGUGAGAUGUUGGGUUAAGUCCCGCAACGAGCGCAACCCUCGUUCUAUGUUGCCAGCACGUAAUGGUGGGAACU